AUCCAGCUGACGAGUCUCAAAUGGGACAAAACGCGAGUCCUGAAU
Molecule: non-coding RNA, 45 nt
Organism: Schistosoma rodhaini
Lineage: Eukaryota; Metazoa; Platyhelminthes; Trematoda; Strigeidida; Schistosomatidae
Source: Rfam